RNAcentral lists this ribosomal RNA (477 nucleotides) under uncultured bacterium. RNAcentral's name for it is "partial 16S ribosomal RNA". It matches the Rfam family "Bacterial small subunit ribosomal RNA", at positions 28 to 523 of the family's 1533-position model. The record is from RNAcentral.
GACGAACGCUGGCGGCGUGCUUAACACAUGCAAGUCGAACGGUAAGGCCCUUCGGGGUACACGAGUGGCGAACGGGUGAGUAACACGUGGGUGAUCUGCCCUGCACUUCGGGAUAAGCCCGGGAAACUGGGUCUAAUACCGGAUAGGACCACUGCCUGCAUGGGUGGUGGUGGAAAGCUUUUGCGGUGUGGGAUGGGCCCGCGGCCUAUCAGCUUGUUGGUGGGGUGAUGGCCUACCAAGGCGACGACGGGUAGCCGGCCUAGAGGGUGACCGGCCACACUGGGACUGAGAUACGGCCCAGACUCCUACGGGAGGCAGCAGUGGGGAAUAUUGCACAAUGGGCGCAAGCCUGAUGCAGCGACGCCGCGUGAGGGAUGACGGCCUUCGGGUUGUAAACCUCUUUCAGCACCGACGAAGCGCAAGUGACGGUAGGUGCAGAAGAAGGACCGGCCAACUACGUGCCAGCAGCAGCCGCGG